Non-coding RNA from Lepisosteus oculatus (spotted gar), 1024 nucleotides. The record is from RefSeq and is a predicted model, not a curated record. Lineage: Eukaryota; Metazoa; Chordata; Actinopteri; Semionotiformes; Lepisosteidae.
CAUUCAGCUUGUGGCUCACCAUCACCUCCAUCGAGCUCACCGGCGAGCCUGGAGGACAGAGCAUGUGGAGGUGACUGACAAAUCUGAUUGCUACAGCGCAGCACCAAGCACACACAGGUCACUACAGUGCAGCGCCAGGGAGACCGAGCUGGUCACUAUAGUGCAGCGCCAGGGAGACCGAGCUGGUCACUACAGUGCAGCGCCAGGGAGACCGAGCUGGUCACUACAGUGCAGCGCCAGGGAGACAGAGGUGAACUCAAGGAAACAUUUUGGGAUUUACAAUACAAGAUGCAAGAGCUUAUAUCACUCUGGACAUUAGACGCAGCAACACUGCAGACUGUAGGCAUCCUAUACACACACUGCCAUGUAUACGACCUAUCCAGCACCGAGGAUCGGGGAAUGGAUAUCUGCAGUGUCUCCAAAGGGGUAAAUGAGAUCCAUCACUUGCUCAUAACAGCACGAAUCUGGACGCCAAGGGUGAGACUGGGAACAGUGCCCUUGGAAAAAAGUUUGUUUCGCUUCUCACCCCUACGUACCCCAACCCAGCCACCCCCCUUUACAACGUGAAGUGGAUCUGCUGUUCAGAAAGUGGCUGCUGGGCCAGGAAGUGACAUUCUCGGAACAGGCGAUACUGAUACUUGGAAUGGAGUCUAUGGGGCUCGACUGGGAACUGGAAAGUUGCUCAAAGUCCAGGUGGGACAAUCCUCUGACCAAGAUGCUUUGCUCCUAUCGCUCCCUUCACAUGUCCAGGUGUAUAAAUACACGUUGAGCCUCAGUGAUCGUGAACCCUGUGCAGAAGAUGAUAGAAAACUCAAAGCUGAUCCAGUGAAACCCUCGCGUGUCAGAACGCGUCUUCUAACUGUUACUGGAGAAACAAGACUGAAGCUCAGACCUUUCUAAAGGCUCAGUCCCUGAGCUGUGAGGAUCAUGAGGACCAGCUGGACAGUCCACUGUCCACUCCACAGCCCUGAGGAAGGAGGUAGGCAGGACAAGAGCUCGUCUUUUAUUUAUUUACAAUAAAGGA